AUGAACGUAAUGGGAGAGACUGACCGGAACAUGCGGCGGCGCCGAAGGAGUAAACCUACUUAAGGUGAAUCUCUCAGGCAAAAGGACCUUUACGGGACG
This 99-nucleotide non-coding RNA is filed under the name Paenibacillus beijingensis. RNAcentral describes it as "Glycine sequence". It matches the Rfam family "Glycine riboswitch aptamer". From Rfam's summary of the family: This family represents the bacterial glycine riboswitch. Glycine riboswitches usually consist of two metabolite-binding aptamers domains with similar structures in tandem. The aptamers cooperatively bind glycine to regulate the expression of downstream genes. The record is from Rfam by way of RNAcentral. Lineage: Bacteria; Bacillati; Bacillota; Bacilli; Caryophanales; Paenibacillaceae.